Molecule: unclassified non-coding RNA, 336 nt
Filed under: soil metagenome
Description: partial contains 5.8S ribosomal RNA, internal transcribed spacer 2, and large subunit ribosomal RNA
Rfam family: 5.8S ribosomal RNA (bases 1-120)
Source: RNAcentral
GAUGAAGAACGUAGCGAAAUGCGAUAAGUAAUGUGAAUUGCAGAAUUCAGUGAAUCAUCGAAUCUUUGAACGCACAUUGCGCCCGCCAGCACUCUGGCGGGCAUGCCUGUUCGAGCGUCAUUUCAACCAUCAAGCCCCCAGGGGCUUGUGCUGGGGCCCUGCGGCUGCCCGCAGGCCCUGAAAACCAGUGGCGGGCUCGCUAGUCACUCCGAGCGUAGUAGUUACAUCUCGCUCCGGGCGUGGCGGUGGGCACCUGCCGUGAAACACUCUUUCUAAGGUUGACCUCGGAUCAGGUAGGAAUACCCGCUGAACUUAAGCAUAUCAAUAAGCGGAGGA